GGGAGGAGAGAAGGAAGCAGAGGUUGCGGGGUGGUUGGCAGUGACAGUGACUGAUGUGUGGUUGUUCCUCGGCGGCGUUCUCAGCAGCACGCCCUGGCAAGCCGCUGUUCUACUUGCUUUCAUCACUGUCAUUUUUCCUUUCGGCCGAAGCAUCAUCAAUACCGCACCAAUGUGUUCCCUUUUCAAAGAGCGGCUGUGACUGGACAUGGCUUUGCUUACUGAGCAGAUAAGCUUUUGUGAGUAUCGCAGAGCCAAGGCUGGAUGCAUUCUUCUUCUGACUCUGUACCAUGGCUAUGGCAGCAUCCAAAGAAGAAACCUCCUCACACAGCAGGGAUACAGGUUUAACACUCAUUUAGGCUGGGAUCAAGCGGGAUCCCUCUCAGGGAGAAUAGCUCUCAACAAAUAAAGUCUUGCAAAGCAGGAUUUCUGCAAAAUGGAUUUCCUGCAAGGAAAACUCUAACCCUGUGCUCACUGUACUCAUGCAGACCACUCUGCUGGGACGGGAGGACUUCAGUGCUACCCUUUCUGGGAUGCUCACCAGAAAAAUGCAAAGACCAGUAAGAAACAAGUGAAAAAUUGAGUAGAAAUGGAAAAGAAAUGUAAAUCACUCAGGUUUAGGUAAGAAGGGUUAGCAGGAGGGUGCAGCCUAAAAGGGAUGGAGUAUUCAGAGAAAGAGCAGCAGCAAAGCUUGAGGUUGUUGCUCUACGCACAACAAAAAAUGACUACAAGAGACACCUACAGGACUGCUAUUUGAAAUGGAAAGUCUGAAUAAAAUAAUGCUGUAGCAAUUAGGAUAAUCUAAU
This 803-nucleotide long non-coding RNA is filed under the name Struthio camelus australis. RNAcentral's name for it is "lncRNA (ENSSCUG00000006746.1)". Lineage: Eukaryota; Metazoa; Chordata; Aves; Struthioniformes; Struthionidae. The record is from RNAcentral.